GGGAUUGCCCCAGUAACGGCGAGUGAAGCGGCAACAGCUCAAAUUUGAAAUCUGGCCCCCCGGGCCCGAGUUGUAAUUUGCAGAGGAUGCUUCUGGCGCGGCGCCUUCCGAGUUCCCUGGAACGGGACGCCAUAGAGGGUGAGAGCCCCGUCUGGUCGGACGCCCAGCCUCUGUGAAGCUCCUUCGACGAGUCGAGUAGUUUGGGAAUGCUGCUCAAAAUGGGAGGUAUAUGUCUUCUAAAGCUAAAUACCGGCCAGAGACCGAUAGCGCACAAGUAGAGUGAUCGAAAGAUGAAAAGCACUUUGAAAAGAGGGUUAAACAGUACGUGAAAUUGUUGAAAGGGAAGCGCUUGUGACCAGACUCGGGCGGGGCGAAUCACCCGGCGUUCUCGCCGGUGCACUUCGCCUCGCCCGGGCCAGCAUCGGUUCGCGGCGGGGGAUAAAGGCCUCGGGAACGUGGCUCCUCCGGGAGUGUUAUAGCCCGUGGCGCAAUGCCCCGCGGCGGACCGAGGUUCGCGCUCCGCAAGGAUGCUGGCGUAAUGGUCCCCAGCGACCCGUCUUGAAACACGGACCAAGGAGUCGUCUUCGUAUGCGAGUGUUCGGGUGGCAAACCCCUACGCGGAAUGAAAGUGAACGCAGGUGAGAGCUUCGGCGCAUCAUCGACCGAUCCUGAUGUCCUCGGAUGGAUCUGAGUAAGAGCAUACGGGGCCGGACCCGAAAGAAGGUGAACUAUGCCUGUGUAGGGUGAAGCCAGAGGAAACUCUGGUGGAGGCUCGCAGCGGUUCUGACGUGCAAAUCGAUCGUCAAACAUGGGCAUGGGGGCGAAAGACUAAUCGAACCUUCUAGUAGCUGGUUUCCGCCGAAGUUUCCCUCAGGAUAGCAGUGUUGAACUCAGUUUUAUGAGGUAAAGCGAAUGAUUAGGGACCCGGGGGCGCUCUUCAGCCUUCAUCCAUUCUCAAACUUUAAAUAUGUAAGAAGCCCUUGUUGCUUAGGUGAACGUGGGCAUUCGAAUGCAUCAACACUAGUGGGCCAUUUUUGGUAAGCAGAACUGGCGAUGCGGGAUGAACCGAACGCGAGGUUAAGGUGCCGGAGUGGACGCUCAUCAGACACCACAAAAGGCGUUAGUACAUCUUGACAGCAGGACGGUGGCCAUGGAAGUCGGAAUCCGCUAAGGACUGUGUAACAACUCACCUGCCGAAUGUACUAGCCCUGAAAAUGGAUGG
Molecule: ribosomal RNA, 1222 nt
Filed under: Ophiocordyceps sp.
Lineage: Eukaryota; Fungi; Ascomycota; Sordariomycetes; Hypocreales; Ophiocordycipitaceae
Description: partial large subunit ribosomal RNA
Rfam family: Eukaryotic large subunit ribosomal RNA
Source: RNAcentral